This 223-nucleotide ribosomal RNA is filed under the name uncultured bacterium. RNAcentral's name for it is "partial 16S ribosomal RNA". It matches the Rfam family "Bacterial small subunit ribosomal RNA", at positions 524 to 747 of the family's 1533-position model. The record is from RNAcentral.
GACGAACCGUCCAAACGUUAUUCGGAAUCACUGGGCUUACAGAGUUCGUAGGCGGUCUGGAAAGUUGGGUGUGAAAUCCCUCGGCCUAACCGAGGAACUGCGCUUGAAACUACCAGACUCGAGGGAGAUAGAGGAAAGCGGAACUGAUGGUGGAGCGGUGAAAUGCGUUGAUAUCAUCAGGAACACCGGUGGCGAAGGCGGCUUCUGGGUCUUACCUGACGCU